RNAcentral lists this ribosomal RNA (1467 nucleotides) under Metapseudomonas resinovorans. Its description in RNAcentral is "bacterial SSU rRNA". It matches the Rfam family "Bacterial small subunit ribosomal RNA". Lineage: Bacteria; Pseudomonadati; Pseudomonadota; Gammaproteobacteria; Pseudomonadales; Pseudomonadaceae. The record is from RNAcentral.
GGGCUGGGCGGCGGCCUACACAUGCAGUCGAGCGGCAGCGGGUCCUUCGGGAUGUCGGCGAGCGGCGGACGGGUGAGUAAUGCCUAGGAAUCUGCCUGGUAGUGGGGGAUAACGUUCGGAAACGGACGCUAAUACCGCAUACGUCCUACGGGAGAAAGUGGGGGAUCUUCGGACCUCACGCUAUCAGAUGAGCCUAGGUCGGAUUAGCUAGUUGGUGGGGUAAUGGCUCACCAAGGCGACGAUCCGUAACUGGUCUGAGAGGAUGAUCAGUCACACUGGAACUGAGACACGGUCCAGACUCCUACGGGAGGCAGCAGUGGGGAAUAUUGGACAAUGGGCGAAAGCCUGAUCCAGCCAUGCCGCGUGUGUGAAGAAGGUCUUCGGAUUGUAAAGCACUUUAAGUUGGGAGGAAGGGCAGCUAGUUAAUACCUGGUUGUUUUGACGUUACCAACAGAAUAAGCACCGGCUAACUUCGUGCCAGCAGCCGCGGUAAUACGAAGGGUGCAAGCGUUAAUCGGAAUUACUGGGCGUAAAGCGCGCGUAGGUGGUUCAGCAAGUUGGAGGUGAAAUCCCCGGGCUCAACCUGGGAACUGCCUCCAAAACUACUGAGCUAGAGUACGGUAGAGGGUAGUGGAAUUUCCUGUGUAGCGGUGAAAUGCGUAGAUAUAGGAAGGAACACCAGUGGCGAAGGCGACUACCUGGACUGAUACUGACACUGAGGUGCGAAAGCGUGGGGAGCAAACAGGAUUAGAUACCCUGGUAGUCCACGCCGUAAACGAUGUCGACUAGCCGUUGGGAUCCUUGAGAUCUUAGUGGCGAAGCUAACGCGAUAAGUCGACCGCCUGGGGGAGUACGGCCGCAAGGUUAAAACUCAAAUGAAUUGACGGGGGCCCGCACAAGCGGUGGAGCAUGUGGUUUAAUUCGAAGCAACGCGAAGAACCUUACCUGGCCUUGACAUGCUGAGAACUUUCCAGAAGAUGGAUUGGUGCCUUCGGGAACUCAGACACAGGUGCUGCAUGGCUGUCGUCAGCUCGUGUCGUGAGAUGUUUGGGUUAAGUCCCGUAACGAGCGCAACCCUUGUCCUUAGUUACCAGCCACGUUAUGGUGGGGACUCUUAAGGAGACUGCCGGUGACAAACCGGAGGAAAGGUGGGGGAUGAAGUCCAAGUCUUCCUUGGGCCCUUUAUCGCCGGGGGGUACACACCUUGCUUCCAAUGGUCGGGGUGCAAAAGGGUGUGCCCAGCCCCCCGAGGGUGGAGGUAAUCCCCUUAAAACCAACCUUAUUUCCGGAAGCCAAGUCUGGGACUCCCACCGGGCCGGAGAUCCGGAACCCUCUUUAAUCCUGGGAUACAAAUAUGUCACGGGGGAAAAAAUUCCUCCGCGCCUGGUACCACCCGCGCGUCCACCACAGGGGAGUGGGUGGUCCCAAGAAGCUUUCUAACCCCCAGGGGAAGGUACCAAGAUUCAU